RNAcentral lists this ribosomal RNA (1020 nucleotides) under Debaryomyces hansenii. RNAcentral describes it as "SSU rRNA". It matches the Rfam family "Eukaryotic small subunit ribosomal RNA", at positions 66 to 1096 of the family's 1831-position model. The record is from RNAcentral. Lineage: Eukaryota; Fungi; Ascomycota; Pichiomycetes; Serinales; Debaryomycetaceae.
UAAGCAAUUUAUACAGUGAAACUGCGAAUGGCUCAUUAAAUCAGUUAUCGUUUAUUUGAUAGUACCUUUACUACUUGGAUAACCGUGGUAAUUCUAGAGCUAAUACAUGCUAAAAAUCCCGACUGUUUGGAAGGGAUGUAUUUAUUAGAUAAAAAAUCAAUGCUUUUCGGAGCUCUUUGAUGAUUCAUAAUAACUUUUCGAAUCGCAUGGCCUUGUGCUGGCGAUGGUUCAUUCAAAUUUCUGCCCUAUCAACUUUCGAUGGUAGGAUAGUGGCCUACCAUGGUUUCAACGGGUAACGGGGAAUAAGGGUUCGAUUCCGGAGAGGGAGCCUGAGAAACGGCUACCACAUCCAAGGAAGGCAGCAGGCGCGCAAAUUACCCAAUCCCGACACGGGGAGGUAGUGACAAUAAAUAACGAUACAGGGCCCUUUCGGGUCUUGUAAUUGAAUGAGUACAUGUAAAUACCUUAACGGGAACAAUGGAGGGCAAGUCUGGUGCCAGCAGCCGCGGUAAUCCAGCUCCAAUAGCGUAUACUAAAGUUGUUGCAGUUAAAAAGCUCGUAGUUGAACCUUGGGCUUGGUUGGCCGGUCCGCCUUUUUGGCGAGUACUGGACCCAACANGAGCCUUUCCUUCUGGCUAACCUUUCGCCCUUGUGGUGUUAGGCGAACCAGNACUUUUACUUUGAAAAAAUUAGAGUGUUCAAAGCAGGCCUUUGCUCGAAUAUAUUAGCAUGGAAUAAUAGAAUAGGACGUUAUGGUUCUAUUUUGUUGGUUUCUAGGACCAUCGUAAUGAUUAAUAGGGACGGUCGGGGGCAUCAGUAUUCAGUUGUCAGAGGUGAAAUUCUUGGAUUUACUGAAGACUAACUACUGCGAAAGCAUUUGCCAAGGACGUUUUCAUUAAUCAAGAACGAAAGUUUAGGGGAUCGAAGAUGAUCAGAUACCGUCGUAGUCUUAACCAUAAACUAUGCCGACUAGGGAUCGGGUGUUGUUCUUUUUUUGACGCACUCGGCACCUUACGAGAA